AGCGAACGCUGGCGGCAGGCUUAACACAUGCAAGUCGAGCGGGCAUCCUUGUGGUGUCAGCGGCAGACGGGUGAGUAACGCGUGGGAACGUGCCCUUCGGUUCGGAAUAACUCAGGGAAACUUGAGCUAAUACCGGAUACAUGCGAGAGCAGAAAGGUUUAUCUGCCGAAGGAUCGGCCCGCGUCUGAUUAGCUAGUUGGUGAGGUUAUGGCUCACCAAGGCGACGAUCAGUAGCUGGUCUGAGAGGAUGAUCAGCCACACUGGGACUGAGACACGGCCCAGACUCCUACGGGAAGCAGCAGUGGGGAAUAUUGGACAAUGGGGGCAACCCUGAUCCAGCCAUGCCGCGUGAGUGAUGACGGCCUUAGGGUUGUAAAGCUCUUUUCUCCGGGACGAUAAUGACGGUACCGGAGGAAUAAGCCCCGGCUAACUUCGUG
Molecule: ribosomal RNA, 437 nt
Filed under: uncultured bacterium
Lineage: Bacteria
Description: partial 16S ribosomal RNA
Rfam family: Bacterial small subunit ribosomal RNA
Source: RNAcentral